Molecule: long non-coding RNA, 9857 nt
Filed under: Homo sapiens (human)
Lineage: Eukaryota; Metazoa; Chordata; Mammalia; Primates; Hominidae
Description: HSALNT0357714
Source: RNAcentral
ACCAGUUUUCUGGAGCGCUGUGUGUUCUUAACAGCUGAGCAGUCUGUUUCUCCAAUCAGGUUUCAAAGCCACUUCAACUGCACUGGCCCCUGUGGGUCACUGCUGCACCGCCCUGACCCAUGUGGGUCCCUGAGGAGCGACCUGCCGGGGCCACCUGGCUGGACGAAAAAGACACACCUUGGACUUAAGCCGUGAGAAAAAAACUUCAUCAGUAAGAAGAAUGAAUAAACAGACUAGGUUGAAUCCAUACAAUGGAAUGUUAGCAGACAAUAAAAAGAAAAUGAACUAUUGAUGUCCCCUACUGCACAGCAGAAGCUCUGAAUCGUGUUCCUGAAUGAAAGAAGUCAGGCAGGUUCUUCAGGAGGGAUUCCAGAACAAGGCACUCUCAUCACAGGAGAUGACAGCUCCAUGUGCAUGACGGCCCCAGAAGACCAUCUGGUAGGACAAGAUGUGGAGGUGGAACGCAGUGAUAUUGAUAAUCCUGACCCUGGAGAUGAAAAGAUGGGCCAGGAGUCCAGUUUCUGGAAGGCCAAGAAUCGAAGUAGCAAGCUGCAGCCGUUUUCCAGACAAGCAGGAUGUGGGGAUGCAGAAGAAUUCAGGACUGGAGGGGCAAACUCCGUAAGCAGGGGCUGUCACGAUUCCCAUCUCCCUCUAUAAACCUCUCUCUUUUCAUGUCAUACUGUUCCAUGUUAUAUGUAACUGUUUUAAAGCUACAUACUGGACAAAAAGUGGAAUAGACUCCAGCCUCUGAAUUGUUAAAUAAGCUGAUGACAAACCUUCACAUUUUCUCCAUCAGGAUGUGACUGAGGCCCCACUGCCAAAUGGCAGCAUGCUCAGAUAGCACCCAGGAAUUUGGGGAAAAAAACUGGUGCUCACAGCUGCCCAGUUAAGGCACAAGUCUCCCGCCUGCUGCAGGGGUUGUGAGGUGUAUCAGAACCUUGAAGAGAUACUCUGGGAAGAAAGGCCUUCCCAGACUGCCUCUCCGCAGCGCUGUAAGAAUCAGAUUUCUUCUAUGGGGGACUUCCAGGUCUCUUCAGCAUUUUCUCAGUCAUCACUGUAUCCCUGCCACUCAGUGAACCACAGCAACAACUCCCAGCUUCCAGCCGAGAAGCUUGACCCUGAAGCUGGCCUCGAUUCUCUACAGAAGUGAGGCCACAGAGCACAGGUGAAGGGCCACUUACCUGGUAUCAUCUCUGGUCUCAGCUCUGGAGAACUAGCUCCUCUGCCACUGCCACAUCCUGUCCACCAAGACCUCCUUGCUGAACCCCACCCCCACCCGGUGCCUCAGGACCCUAACUUGUUUGCUGACCUCCAUGUCCUCUCACCAGAUCCAGCCCUGGGGAGCUGAACUUCCUCUGGCCCACUGCCAGCUCUGGAUCAGUCCACACCCCAGCCAGCCACAGCCCAGCCCUGCCUCUCUCUGUCUCUCUCUCAUGGCUGGGUUGGCCUUGGCCAAUGCUCUCUCUAGAGAUCAAGACACAGGCACCUCUCUUGGUCUGUUCUGGCUGCUGUGACAAAAUGCCUUAAGCUGGGUGGCUUAUAAACCACAGAAAUUUAUUUCUCACUGUUCUGGAGGCUGGGAAGUCCUACAGACUGGGGUACUGGCCUGCUUGUUUCCUCGUGAGGGCUCUCUUCCUGGGUUGCAGAUGGACAUCUCCCUGAUGUAUCUUCACAUGGCAGAGAGAGAGAGAGAGAGAGACAGAAAGACAGAGAAAGAGAGAGAGAGAGAGAGAGAGCAUGCUCUUUGGUCUCUUCUGGUAAGGGCCUAAUCCCGUCAUGAAGAAUCCCCAUAACUUCAACUAAAUCUAAUCACUUCUCAAAGGCUCCAUCUCCACAUACCAUCCCAUUGUGGGUUAGGGUUUCAACAUAGGAAUUCUGGAGGCACACAAACGUGCAGUUCAAAACAUGUGGAGACAAGGGGGCAAGGACUAGAGAGCCCUACCAUCCUCGUUCAAACCCUUGAAUCAAGCCUGAAGUCAAAGAACUUCCUUUGGAGAGCCCCAUUCCAUGAGCCGAUAAUUUCCCCAUUUUGCCAUCACCCACUUGAGUUUGGGAUUUUCCCCCAGUUACUGAGUGCCUGACUGACAUGAUGCCCCCCACAGAUGGGCCUCCCUGCCCCCAAUCUCACCUCCUCUGUUAGUUUCCUGGGGUUGCCACAACAAAGCGUUACAGGCAGAGCGGCUAAAACGACAGAAACUUAUGGUCUCACAGUUCUGGAGGCUGCAAGUUCAAGGUCAAGGUGUCAGCAGGGUUGGUUCCUUCGGAAGGCUGUGCAGGAGCCUGUUGGGUGCCUGUCCCUCAGCUUCUAGUGGAUUACUUCCAUCUUCAGCAUGCCUUGGCUUGUAGAAGGACUACCCUGAACUCUGCCUUCAUGGUCACAACACAUCCUCCCUGUGUGUGUUUCUGUGUCCAAAUUUCCCCUUCUUAUAAGGACACCAGUCUUAUACGGACAAUGCUCAAUGUAUGAACCUUUGCCAAGGGAUUGGAUUAGGGACCCACUAUAUUCCAGUAUGACCUCAUCUUAACUAAUUAUACCUGCAAUGACACUGCUUCCAAAGAAGGCCACAUGAUGAGGUACCGUUGGUUAGGAAUUCAAUAUAUGAGUUUGGGGGGACACAGUUCAGCCCACACCACCUCCUCUGACCCUGAAUUGGAUGCUGUUUCUGCUCUGCUUAUGAUCCUCUUGUCCUCACUGGCCUCUUGGUCCAGCACCCACUGAGGCACCAGCUCUGAGAGAGCUCACUGGCUUCACACAGGUGCGACCUGAUGGCGCCUCACCUCAUACCCCAAACAUCCUUCUCAUCUCUGCAGGACCUGCUCUGUUUAUGUCCAGGUAUGUUCAGUGUUCCUGUGUGUCCCCAGAGUGUGGGGAGGUAAUGCUCCAUGUACGAACCUUUGCCAAGGGAAUAUGGAAACCGAUGGAUGAGUUCUUACCUCUUUUUUCGUCCAGACAAACUGUCCUAAGAUGGUUUUAAGAGAUACCGAGUAAUCAGCUGCCAGCUCAGUAGCGCAUCUUCAGAUUGACUCUCCCUCCUUCCCUGUCUCCUUCCCCAUAUUCUUCAUCUUGUUCCCUGGGAUCUUUCUCCCUAAUAAAGGAAAAGCUCAUAGACCUCUGCCCCAGCUUCUGCUUUCUGGGGAAUGCAGGCCAAUCCAGCCACACUACUCUCCCUCCAUGUAACCUGACCAUGCCAUCCCCCUGCUUAAAAGCUUUCAGUGCUUCUCCAUUGCCCAUAAAGCUCAUACUUUCUAGCUAUGAGCUUCAAGGCCACUUGGAGGUCAUCUGGCCAACUGUCCUUCCUGCUACAACAGUCUAAGUCAUAGGCUUUGGAAGAUAACUGAUUGGGUUUCAUCUUUGGCUCUUAUUGAAAAUGUGGAAAAAAUUAUUUCACCUCUAUAAGCUUCAGUUUCUUCAUCUAUCUGAUCUCAGGAUUGAGGGAAGGCAAUGUAUAUAAAGCAUCUGGCACAGUGGUUGGGGCACUAAAUACAUGGCAGCCAGUGUUUAUUAUUACAAACCAGGAAACCAGGAUGCAAAGGGAGCUGCUUCAGCUCCCUUUCAGUCAGCAGACAACGGCUGUCAAACUUGGGACCAAACAGCUACAAAACCAGAUGCCCGCUCUCCACAAAUAAGAGGCUGAAGUGCAGCUCUCCACUGAUGAACUAUAACAGUUGGAAAUUCACUUGUACUAUGGAUAUUUCUUCUGCACCUCUCGUGAACAGCCUGUUCUUGCUGAGGGCUGGACAGUAAAUAAAACAUCUACAGUGCCUACUUCCAUGGGGUUCAUGUUCUAAUGAGGGAGUGGAGACCCUCAACAAAGAACCAGCCAAUGUGCUAAGUCCUGUGGCAGAAACUGGGCAGAAAAGGGAAGAGAGAGGGAGGAUGGUUAUAUUUUUACAGGAUGGUUAAAAAAUUAGUCUUCUGUUUUUUGAGACAGGCUUUCACUCUGUUGCCCAGGCUGGUGUGCAACGGUGUGAUCAUGGCUCACUGCAGCCUUGACCUUCUGUGCUUAGUCAAUCCUCCCACCUCAGCCUCCCAAGUAGCUCAGAAUACAGGCUUGUGCCACCAUGCCCAGCUGAUUUUUGUAAUUUUUGUAGAGAGAGAUGGGGUUUCACUAUGUUGUCUAGACUGGUCUCAAAUUCCUGGGCUCAAGUGAUCUGCCUGCUUUGGCCUCCCGAAGUGCUGGGAUUACAGGCACAAACCACCAUGCCCAGCCAGGAAAUUAAUCUUCUAAUAAAGGUUCACUUAAGGUGAAGGGAGCAAGGGAGAAAGUUGAUAUCAAGGGGUGGCAUUCCAAGCAGCAAGAGUAGGAAGUAGAAAGGCCUGAGGCGGGAAAGGUCUUAGCCUGUUCAAAAGAUAGCAGAGAAGCAAGCACUGCUGAAGAGGAGUGGGUGAGGGGAAGGGUAGUGGGAAGUGAGGCCAGAGAGGGGUGGAUGAUCUGCAGACACAGGUGGAGACUGUGACUGUGAAAUUUGCCCUGAAUAUGAUGGAAAGCCACUGGAGGGUUGAACAAAGUUGUAGAGGCACCUGACUAGUUUCAGUGGAUCACUCUGGCUGAAUGAGGCCAGAAAGGAGGCCUCUGCCAUGAUCUCAGUAGGGAGGACAGUGGCUUGAACCUGAAGGCAGAGCCUGGAGGCAGUGAGAAGUGGUCAUUCUGAGAACAUUUUGAAGGCACAGCUUACAGAACUCACCGAUAGAUUGGAUGAGGGUUGUGAAUAGGAGGUGAUCCCAAAGACUGUGGCCCAAGCAAAUGAAAAGCAGGACUUGCCCUUUUCUGAAAAGGAGGACACUGAGGAAGGAGGUAGCAGGGACAAAUCUGGAGUUUGCUUUUAAAUGUGCCAAGCUUGAGAUGCUGACUGGUGUCUAGGAAACACAAAGCAUGCCUGGACACCCAAAUCUGGAGGUCAGGGAGAAGUUCAGACUGGAGAUACACUGGGGAACAUUAGAGUAUUUGUGGCAUUUAGCACCAGAAAACUGGGUGAGCUCACCAGGGGAAUGAGAGGACCUCCAGGGCUCCUUGGGGAUGCUCCAGUGUCCCAAAAUCAGGGCAACAAGAGUCCAAGAAAAGAGAUGGGGAAGAAGAGCCCAAUGAGGCAGGGAGAACCAUGACCAUUAUGCCCUGAAAAAGCCACAUGCAGGAGUCUCAAGGAGAAGGGAGUGACCAACUGCCCAAUACAGCUGACGACCAUAUCAGACAAGACUGAGAACUGGCCACAGGAUUUGGCAACAUGGCAAGAGCUAUAUGAAUGGACUGGUGAGCACAUAAGAGGAGAGGAAGUGGAAGCUUCAGGAUUAGACAGGGGGCCAGGCACAGUAUCCCAUGCCAAUCCCAGCACUUUGGGAGGCCGAGACAGAAGGAUCACUUGAGGCCAGGAGUUCAAGACCAGCCUGGGCAACAGAGAGAGACCUCAUCUCUACAAAAAAGGAAAAAAAAAAGGAAAAUCAGCCUGGACAACAUAGGGAGACCCAGUCUCUAUCAAAAAAAGAAAAAAAAAGAUUUAAUUUUUUAAUUAGCUGGACAUGGUGGUAUGCACCUGUGGUGCUAGCUAUUCAAGAGGCUGAGGUGAGAUGAUCACUUGAGCCCAGGAGUUCGAGUUGCAGUGAGCUAUGUUCAUGCCACUGCAUUCCAGCCUGGGUGACAGAGCAAGACCCUGUCUCUAAAAGAACAAAAAAAAAAAAGAGAGAGAGAGAAAGAGGCUAGACAAGUCUCUGGAGGAGUUUUGUGCAAAAAGGAGCAGAGAACACUGAUGGUGUGAGAGUGAUGUUCUUCAGGAGAUGACAGUGAAUGGGAUCUGGGGACAAUGGAGGUCUUUGGGGCUGUUAGCUUGUUUGUUCUUCUCUGGCCAUUCCAGCACUCAGGGUCACCUUCCCCUCCAGGCCCCUCCACUCCAGUGACUCCUUUGGUGACUUAUCCACUCAUGCAUUCUGAGUCUUUCCUGUAUCACCUCCUGACCCCUCCAGUGGCUCAGUCACUAUCUAGCUGUGUGACCUUGGAUGAGUCACUUAACCUCACAAGAAGCAGCAAUCAGUGAGUCCGGUGACUUCAGUUUCUUCCAGUAUCAGGGUGGACAGAGAGUCACAGUGGUAGGACCUGGGGGUGUUUCUCUAAGGUAUGUGGAAAUUUAGGCUCCCCUUUGAUCUCAGAUUCAUGGAGAACCCAGAACUGGUUAUUAGAAAACUCUUGCGGAGUGAAUAGGUAAGCUUCUUUCAUAUUAAUUCUUCACUUGGCAAAUGCUUAAGUGCCUGCUCUAUCCAAGGGUGUGUCAGAGGUUUUGCAAGGGUGGAGGAUGAGCCUCUUGGAUUUUACCCUCAAAGAGCUCAUAACCUUGUGGGGUGGUGGGUGUGUCUAUUCAAAACCAUAACAGGGCAGACUCUCUGGCACAUCAUUUUGUGUUCAUCUUUAGGACCAGUUGUCACAGUUGCACACACAAAUUAAAGUUCCACAGGAGGUGGGAUGUUUUCGGUCUUGUACUCUAUGUGCCUGACACAUCGUAAGCAGUCAGUACAUGUUUGUUGAAUGAAAGCAGUAUUGAAUGGUACCAUUUAAUUUGUGUUUUGAAGCAAGGGUGGGAUUUGGACCUACACAGAUGGGCGAGGGGGCGCAUUGCAGACUGGCGGGGGUUGGGGUGGCUGGAGGCAGGAGGAGGGAAUGGCGGGAGCAGAUGUACAGAGACAGUGACACCCAAGGCAUGGUUGGUAAUUGCAGGCCGACUGUGACUGGAUCGUGUGAUAUGUCAGGAUGCAAAGAGACUGAAAAAAUGAAUAUGAUUACUUUUAUAAUGGAAAAAAAAAGGCCACAUCAAUACUUUAAAAAAGAAAGGCUAGCAUUAGGCAGGGUUUUAGCACUCACAGCCAGGACGUGAUAAAGUUUUGCAUCUUCCAAGGGUUCCCAGUCAGUCUUUGUGGUAUGAGUCUCCAAUUCCAGCCAUGAUCCUCCUCUGUAAGGUGGGUACCUCCCACAAUGGGUGGCAGAGGGUCCACUUGCUGGCUAGAGAUGCCCUCCCACCCCCCCCACCACCCCCAGGAGCUAGAGAUACUGAGGGGUACUGGCUUUCACUGGGACAGUUCGUACACUUGUAAGCGGCCAUCAAAAAUGAUAUCUAGGCUGGGCACGGUGGCUCAUGCCUGUAAUCCCAGCACUUUGGAAGUCAGAGCAGAGCGGAUCACCUGAGGUCAGGAGUUCGAGACCAGCCUGGCCAACAUAGUGAAACCCCAUCUCUACUAAAAAUACAAAAAAAAAAAAAAAAUAGCUGGGUGUGGUGGCAGGCACCUGUAAUCCCAGUUACACAGGAGGCUGAGGCAGGAGAAUUGCUUGAAUCCAGGAGGCAGAAGCUGCAGUGAGCCAAGAUCGUGCCAUUGCACUCCAGCCUGGGCAGCAUGAGUGAAACUCCUUCUCAAAAAAAAAAAAAAAAAAAGAUAUCCAGCAAGAUGAAAAACUGUUGAUGAUACAGUUUUAAGUGAAAUAGAGCAGAAUACAAAAAGCCAUGUUCACUAAGAACAUAUCUAUGCAAACUAUGCACAUGGCAAAUAUUUAUCAAAAGAAUGAAAAAGCCUCACAAAAAAUAUGACCACAUGCAGCCAGAGAUGAGACAGACAACCAAAACUGAAUGCACCUUUUCAGCAAUAACAAUUUUAGAGACGUUCCCAGAACUAGGAUGGGUGUCUACAGGUUCUUACCCAGUGUCUCUAGGCUCCAGGGCAACCUGUUUCUUAGAGCAGAGCUUCUCAAACUUUAAUGUGCACACAAUUAACCUGGGAUCCUGAUAAAACAUGGAUUUGGAUUCAAUCGAGCUGGGCUGGCAACAAGGACUCUGAAUAUCUACAAGCUCCAGGUGAUGCUGGGGCACAGAACACACUCAACGAGGCUUCUACCCACUACCCCAAUUCUUAGCACCAAACACUUUCCCCAGAGGCCUAGCCUGGCCCUCCGUCCUCAAGCAUGUCUGCACCUGAAAUCAUCUUUGUCCCCAGCAUCUUGGCACCAUCGAGACUAAUAAUGAGAAGCAACUCCAGGCACUUGCGUGGGAUCCAGGGGGGCCUGAGGCCCCCAAUUCCUUGGGAAGCUUGAACAAUGACAUCUUUCUGGGGUGAUGGGAAGACAAAAGUGACUCCAUCUUGGAUGCUAAUUUUCCCAUGUUGACUUCUGAUUAGCCCCAGUCCCAUGAAUGCCUCCUGACUCCUACUUUAUUUACUGUCCCGAGUGUAAGAAUAUGUACUCCUGCUUUUAGAUCAAAGCAAGCUUGAUGUUAUCAUGCAAAUUCUGGGCUAUGAUGCACAUGGCGUUCUUGCCUGCUCUGGCACACUACCUUUCACUGUCUUGCUGGAGCAUGUAUAUCCUUUUCCCUUGGUAUAUAAGCCUUGGGUCCGAGAGUAACAGUGCAGAGAUCUGCCUGUCUUGUGGCCACCCGAGACCACCCGCCUGCUUAAAAGUUCCCUCAAUAAAUCACUCAAUACCAACAAACUGGAUUUGUCUGCUUCCUUCUUUGGUCUCUUGGCUCCUUUGGCAUUUGGGGGUUGCUUUGUGCAUGUGGGCUUUUCACAAAAUAGAUGGGUCCCGGAGCCUGGGCUUCGCUGGCAGGUGGUCACCUGGAGCAGCCAGCAGCAGAUGGCACCACAGGACAAGCACAAGCUGUGUCCAAGAGAGUGGCUCAAGAAAUCUGCCCAAAAUCCAACACAAAAAUGAACAAAGGAACUGAAUGGGAGAUGUGACCAAAAGAAGCGAUAAGACAAACAGCUCCAGGAGGGGAGCUGCUGGCUCAAAGAGCACUUGUCUUGGGCGUCAGUUCCACCGGUUCUUGGUCAGGGGUGAGAGCCCUAUGCCAGACCCCCUUUGCAGAACCUAUGCUGGCUUAUGAUGAGGCUCUUCCAGGGCUCCAGCACAUGAAUACCCUGCCCUGGGAGGCUAUAGUAGGCCAGCCACUGUCCACUCUGCUGGAGGGUCAGUCUGAGCCAACAGAACCAUGCGGAGACAUCCCAUCCAAUGCAGCCCAGGAGCAGUCUUGACAUUUCUUUCCCUGCAAGGACAGGCUGUCUGGUCCACACAUAGAUGAAGCCUUGGGCCUGGUUCAGCAUCCAGAGGACUAGGCCAUAACCCCCAAGGUAAGAUAUUCACACUCAUUGGAGCCCUUUCUCCUUUUUCCCUGGAUGGCUGGAGGAAGGGGACCCCUGCUUUUUUCAGCCAGUGCCCCAUGAAGUUAGACUCCCAGGACUCCCUGCCCCUGAUCCUACUUAAGGCCACUGGGAUGCCCAAUACCCUGAGGAAGCUUUGAAAGAUACGUGGCACAUUAUCUGGGGCAAGUCAGCUCAGUGGUCAGAGCACAGAGUGAAGGAGGCUGCAGCCAUAGCCUUGAGUUCUGGAGGCCUCUGUAGUGGGUCAACAGUGGGGAGAGCCACAGAGUCUCGGUCCAGCUACUGUAUCAAAUGAGGUCCUGGGAGGCAAGGAAGGGCAGGCAGGAGACUAUGGCUGCAGGAGCCUGAGCCCUGGCCCCCUUCCCAUGCUGGACUCCUGUCCAGCACCAAACAUUCAGCAGUGAGUGGCACCUUUACCAUCAACCCACCAUGGAAAACUUCCCUGGAGCUCUCUCCUUGUGCCAGGGCCUGUCCAUGGCAUGUAAGACACAAGCCCCAUGAUGGUAUGGAUUUCACCUGCAAGGCGCUUGCCAUCUCAUCGAGGAGAGGAACUUGCAGGCUGAUUUCCAUGUAAGGUGGAAGACACAGUGAUAGAGAAAAGGGAUGGAGUAGGAAGUGAGUCCUGGAAUUCCUGCUGCAGAGGGCUGUAAGCCAAGACUACUGCAUCUAUUGUCUUCAGCUGGAUGCGCUAAUGAUCUAACAGUAAUCCCACUGCUUUGCAUCCACAGAAUUC